UAAUGUUUGAUGUUCUAACGUGGACCCGUAAUCCGGGUUGCGGACAGUGUCUGGUGGGUAGUUUGACUGGGGCGGUCUCCUCCUAAAGAGUAACGGAGGAGCACGAAGGUUGGCUAAUCCUGGUCGGACAUCAGGAGGUUAGUGCAAUGGCAUAAGCCAGCUUGACUGCGAGCGUGACGGCGCGAGCAGGUGCGAAAGCAGGUCAUAGUGAUCCGGUGGUUCUGAAUGGAAGGGCCAUCGCUCAACGGAUAAAAGGUACUCCGGGGAUAACAGGCUGAUACCGCCCAAGAGUUCAUAUCGACGGCGGUGUUUGGCACCUCGAUGUCGGCUCAUCACAUCCUGGGGCUGAAGUAGGUCCCAAGGGUAUGGCUGUUCGCCAUUUAAAGUGGUACGCGAGCUGGGUUUAGAACGUCGUGAGACAGUUCGGUCCCUAUCUGCCGUGGGCGCUGGAGAACUGAGGGGGGCUGCUCCUAGUACGAGAGGACCGGAGUGGACGCAUCACUGGUGUUCGGGUUGUCAUGCCAAUGGCACUGCCCGGUAGCUAAAUGCGGAAGAGAUAAGUGCUGAAAGCAUCUAAGCACGAAACUUGCCCCGAG
Molecule: ribosomal RNA, 596 nt
Filed under: Salmonella enterica
Lineage: Bacteria; Pseudomonadati; Pseudomonadota; Gammaproteobacteria; Enterobacterales; Enterobacteriaceae
Also listed under: 2 other names
Description: partial 23S ribosomal RNA
Rfam family: Bacterial large subunit ribosomal RNA
Source: RNAcentral